CACAGCACUCAGUUCUGACAGAGUUGCACAGGGAUUGGAUGGGUAACAUUUGAACUUCCUCACAAGCCCAUCCAAUCCCCAUGUGUCUUUAUCGGGACAUAACUUCACUGACAAAUGAGUGUGCAGAAAGCUGUGUAGAGCAAAGUAGGCAGCUGAAAUCCCACCCUCUCUUCUAAAGUCUGCAGCCCUGGGAGAACAGGGGGCCGGCUAGUCAAGCAAGUGCAACAGGACCGGGCCCCUCAAGGAUAAUUAGCAAAGUAUGAAAUAUGUUACUGUUUUGGCCCUCCUUUAAUCUGUCGCUAAUUGGUAUGUUCUGUGAUAAUAAUAAUGAAAGUCAUGUGACAGAAGCAGAUAUCUAGGAGGGGAAAAAGACCUGCAAUACAGAGAAGUGAGAAGAUGUGAUCUAACUUUACUUAUCUGUUUUACGAUCAAUUUCAUCAAAAUUCUAUUUUACGAAUGGCCGAAGCAGAUAAGCAGGAGGGAAAAAACCAUCUGCAGUAUUCAAAGAAGAAGUGAAGUGAGAAGACUUUACUUAUCCAUUUUACAAUCAAUUUAAUCAAAAUUCAAUUUUACUAAUGGAUGUUCUUAUAGAAUUUUUUUCAAAAAGUCCAUUGAAAAUUAGAAUUUUUAUGCCAGUUGCUUUGUAUUGUGCGGACUCGGCCUAGUUAUAAUACUAGCAUGCCUAUAUCAAUGUAUAUACACAUUUGAAGUGCACAAAAAGAUAAUAGCAUGUUGGAGGCACACUCAAAAGGAUGAGGAAGAACCUGAGGAAGAACUAUAUGGGCCUUGUUCUUAUUGGUCUGGGUGGGAACUAUAGCUUGAUUGUAUCAAUACUACAUCAAUCAAACUGUUUUUCAGGGAGCGCAAGCGAGGGAAAAAGAAGAAUUAAGUAAAAUGGUGUCGCUUACAUCUCUUACAGCUCUCAAAAAUGUUAAGGGACUGUUAAGGCAAACAGAAUCGAUAAUGAAGUUCGAUAAUACAGUUGAUAAAGAACUGAUAAAACAUGAAAAGCAAAUUUGUUGGUAAGGUGUGUACAACACAGAACCUACCACCGAAGAAUAGAAUUGGUUGUGCAAGCCUACAAAGCAUGUGAAGAAGUGUCUGUGCCAAUACAUGGGACCAACAUGCAUCGUUUGGAUAUUUCAUUCUAAGUACUCCAUUUACUACUGAGCACAGAGCUUUUUCCAAAAGCUAUCCCUGAUGAAAAGUGUGCUAGUGGGCCCCCUAUCCUGGUGGGUGAUGGGCAAAUGCCCCUUUUGCCCAUUUUUCAAAAUGGCCCUGGUCUUAAGCAUUUUGAGAUAACCAAUCCCACACCUGGACAAUGUUUGUUAAGUUGUUACUUUUAAAAUACUUUCUAAUAAAAACAUUGUUAACAAAAA
This is a long non-coding RNA of Xenopus tropicalis (tropical clawed frog), 1379 nucleotides long. RefSeq lists it as uncharacterized. The record is from RefSeq and is a predicted model, not a curated record. The transcript has 3 exons. Lineage: Eukaryota; Metazoa; Chordata; Amphibia; Anura; Pipidae.